AGGCCACACCCGUUCCCAUAUCGAACACGGAAGUUAAGCUCUCUAGCGCCGAUGGUAGUUGGGACCUUGUCCCUGUGAGAGUAGGACGUUGCCAGGC
RNAcentral lists this ribosomal RNA (97 nucleotides) under Bacillus cereus. Lineage: Bacteria; Bacillati; Bacillota; Bacilli; Caryophanales; Bacillaceae. The record is from RNAcentral.